GACGAACGCUGGCGGCGUGCUUAACACAUGCAAGUCGAACGGAAAGGCCCAGCUUUUGUGGGGUGCUCGAGUGGCGAACGGGUGAGUAACACGUUAGUAACCUGCCCUUUACUUUGGUAUAACUUCAGGAAACUUGUGCUAAUACCGGAUAGGAGCUCCUGCUGCAUGGUGGGGGUUGGAAAGUUUCGGCUGUUGGGGAUGGACUCGCGGCUUAUCAGCUUGUUGGUGGGGUAGUGGCUUACCAAGGCUUUGACGGGUAGCCGGCCUGAGAGGGUGACCGGCAACAUUGGGACUGAGAUACGGCACAGACUCCAACGGGAGGCAGCAGUGGGGAAUAUUGCACAAUGGGCGGAAGCCUGAUGCAGCAACGCCGCGUGCGGGAUGACGGCCUUCGGGUUGUAAACCGCUUUCGCAUGUGACGAAGCGUGAGUGACGGUAAUGGGUAAAGAAGCACCGGCUAACUACGUG
Molecule: ribosomal RNA, 468 nt
Filed under: uncultured bacterium
Lineage: Bacteria
Description: partial 16S ribosomal RNA
Rfam family: Bacterial small subunit ribosomal RNA
Source: RNAcentral